This 464-nucleotide ribosomal RNA is filed under the name Segatella oris. RNAcentral describes it as "bacterial SSU rRNA". It matches the Rfam family "Bacterial small subunit ribosomal RNA", at positions 28 to 480 of the family's 1533-position model. Lineage: Bacteria; Pseudomonadati; Bacteroidota; Bacteroidia; Bacteroidales; Prevotellaceae. The record is from RNAcentral.
GAUGAACGCUGGCUACAGGCUUAACACAUGCAAGUCGAGGGGAAACGACGGGGAAGCUUGCUUCCCCGGGCGUCGACCGGCGCACGGGUGAGUAACGCGUAUCCAACCUGCCUCUGACUGAGGGAUAACCCGUCGAAAGUCGGCCUAAUACCUCAUGGCAUCGUCUGCGGGCAUCCAACGACGAUUAAAGAUUUCAUCGGUCAGGGAUGGGGAUGCGUCUGAUUAGCUAGUUGGCGGGGUAACGGCCCACCAAGGCGACGAUCAGUAGGGGUUCUGAGAGGAAGGUCCCCCACAUUGGAACUGAGACACGGUCCAAACUCCUACGGGAGGCAGCAGUGAGGAAUAUUGGUCAAUGGGCGAGAGCCUGGACCAGCCAAGUAGCGUGCAGGAUGACGGCCCUAUGGGUUGUAAACUGCUUUUAUGCGGGGAUAAAGUGAGGGACGUGUCCUUCAUUGCAGGUACCG